AGGUGGGAUCAUACCAGCACUAAUGCAUCGGAUCGCAUCAGAACUCUGUAGUUAAGCGCGCGUGGUCUAGAGUAGCACUAGGAUGGGUGACCUCCUGGGAAGUCCUCGUGUUGCACCUG
This is a ribosomal RNA of Lupinus angustifolius (narrow-leaved blue lupine), 119 nucleotides long. The record is from Rfam. NCBI's taxonomy places the organism in Eukaryota, Viridiplantae, Streptophyta, Magnoliopsida, Fabales, Fabaceae.